Molecule: ribosomal RNA, 500 nt
Filed under: uncultured bacterium
Lineage: Bacteria
Description: partial 16S ribosomal RNA
Rfam family: Bacterial small subunit ribosomal RNA
Source: RNAcentral
AUUGAACGCUGGCGGCAUGCCUUACACAUGCAAGUCGAACGGUAACGGGUCCUUCGGGAUGCCGACGAGUGGCGAACGGGUGAGUAAUAUAUCGGAACGUGCCCAGUAGUGGGGGAUAACUGCUCGAAAGAGCAGCUAAUACCGCAUACGACCUGCGGGUGAAAGGGGGGGAUAGCAAGACCUCUCGCUAUUGGCGCGGCCGAUAUCAGAUUAGCUAGUUGGUGGGGUAAAGGCCUACCAAGGCAACGAUCUGUAGUUGGUCUGAGAGGACGACCAGCCACACUGGGACUGAGACACGGCCCAGACUCCUACGGGAGGCAGCAGUGGGGAAUUUUGGACAAUGGGCGCAAGCCUGAUCCAGCAAUGCCGCGUGCAGGAAGAAGGCCUUCGGGUUGUAAACUGCUUUUGUCAGGGAAGAAAUCUUCUGGGCUAAUACCCCGGGAGGAUGACGGUACCUGAAGAAUAAGCACCGGCUAACUACGUGCCAGCCGCCGCAGUAA